GGUGAGUAACACGUGGGUGAUCUGCCCUGCACUUCGGGAUAAGCCUGGGAAACUGGGUCUAAUACCGGAUAGGACGAUGGUUUGGAUGCCAUUGUGGAAAGUUUUUCGGUGUGGGAUGAGCUCGCGGCCUAUCAGCUUGUUGGUGGGGUAAUGGCCUACCAAGGCGUCGACGGGUAGCCGGCCUGAGAGGGUGUACGGCCACAUUGGGACUGAGAUACGGCCCAG
This 225-nucleotide ribosomal RNA is filed under the name uncultured Actinomycetales bacterium. RNAcentral describes it as "partial 16S ribosomal RNA". It matches the Rfam family "Bacterial small subunit ribosomal RNA", at positions 105 to 334 of the family's 1533-position model. The record is from RNAcentral. Lineage: Bacteria; Bacillati; Actinomycetota; Actinomycetes; Actinomycetales.